AGCUUCCUUCCAUCAACUCCUGUAAGAAAAACUGGCAGGAGAAACUGAUCACCAUAAGUAAAGAACCACUGCCUCACAGAAGGGUGAGCCCAGACUAGGGAAAGAUCUCACAGGGAAGAAAAACAACAUAGAUAAAAGUACAGUUGCUGUCCGUUGUUUCUGGAGAGAAAGGCAGCCAGGGCAUUUGGAGUAUGUUUUGGGUGACACCAGUUCCAAGUUCCAAGCUGUGAGUCAGAGGAGGGAUUCACUGAGUAUCUAAUCCUGUGCUUCUCCGAGCCCCUGGUGCCUGGGAAAGUGGACGUGCACCAAGCCUUGUAACCUGAGCUGAGAUUCCCCCAAGCCCAGUAUCAAAGUAUGCUGUUUUAGGUUUUCUCCAGUGCCCUUUCUCCAGAUGAAAAGAGGUGAGGUUGGACAGCACACCAAACAAAUGCACAGGUAGUGGCUGUAGCUAAUCCUUAUUCAGUCAUUCCUAUUUAAAUCAGGGGAACUGCUGCAAGAAGGAUUAGAACCCUGGGUCCUUUUAUGUUAUUUAGAAUGCAAGUUUUAAGUUAAAUUUUUCAGAUUCUCUUCCUAGGUCACAAGGACAUUUCUAUUAUAUCUGUCAUCACGCAACUAGAAAAACAUUAGUUUAGAUCCUGUGCUAUUGCUUGGACAGCAUAGAGGCCACUGAAUAUUCUAAACACCUUCACGAUAUUCUGUCCUAAGCCAAAUCUGGUGCAUUACAGGCUCGGAUGUCUAGGCGUCUGUUAAUGUCAUGCAGCCAUCAUGUUUCACAAAAAUAUUAGUUGAUUGCAAAGCAUUCGUCUCUCUCCAACUUUUGACCCUAAAACACUACAAAUAAAAACUGACUAUGCUUGAACUGUAGUCGUAGUGUUCAUUUUUCCUCAGUGGAAAAAUACAAAAAAAUCUUGUUUCUCUCUCUGUACCUCUCGUUUCAAUAGAUCUUAAUAUGGCACAGGAGGAAAACAACAUUCUGUAUUUGCAAAACAAACACACACAGAGAGCUGCACAAUAAGCAAAAUGCAUUUGAUUUAAAAGGUCGCCUGCAUCAGUCCAGUGCCUUAGCAACAGUAGGUUGAGUUGCUGAGAGACUCAAAAUGUACAUGGACUUGGAUUUCUUGGUCACAGUCAUGUGGAAAUUAAGGCCUGCAGUAGGAAAACAACACUCCUUCUGGCUUUCAUGGGAGAUUCUGGCUGUUCCGGCCAAUCUGUCAAGGGAUGGCACAGGCAACACUGAUAUCACUUGAGGGGCUCUCUCAGUAGGGGCUUUAUCUUGGAAGUUGCUGAGUACUUGGAUUCUGAUUCACUAGGCACUUAAGCAGGUGCUUAACUUUAAGCCUAUGAAUAGUCUCAUUUACUUCAGCGCAGAUUUAAAGUUAAGCUUAUGUGCUUUGCUGAGCACCUUACAUGUACAGAGACUGAGAAUACAAGAGGGUAAAGUCAAGCAAAUGUUCCUUUUUAGCCAAGUGCGCUAAAAUUCAGGAGUCAGGCAUUCCCCUUCAUUCACUACUUGGUUAUAAAUGCUUCCUGUGCAACAAGUUCCAAAGCAAAUCUUCAUUGACAAGGAUCCCAGUGAGGCUUUCAAAAAAACAAAACAAAACCACACCAAGUUUCCAAUCUAAAGUUACAAUUUCCCACCCCCAUCAUUAGUUCUUUCUCCCUGACAUCACCGUCCAGUAUGGACAGUGCAAACAGAACUUCCUAAAGGGCCUUGACCCUAAAGACACAGCUCAUUGAGAAAGUUCCCAACCUCUUUUCUCAGACCAGGCCCAUCCAUCUCUCUCACCCUCAGCUCCCCCUAGAGACCAGAAGAAUCUGCUGGGAGGAGCCUUCAUAGUCUGAUGUCAUCACCCAGCUCUGAAAUUUGCUACUCACAACAAAAACGCUACAAUCACAUGUGUUAAUGGGAUUAAACUGUGGUUUCCACCAAUAUGCAAGGUUUCUAUGCUAUGUCAACUGAAUAGCUUCCAAUAAGGCUCACUGGUAGAAAACAACUGAGCGUGAAAUAGUCACUGCAAAUACCAAGCUCACAAAACCAAAGAUGUAAGGAAGGUGCACUCUCCCGGAGAGUCAUACCACAACAGCAGUGGUUCCAGUACUGCUCACAAGCUAGAGAGGGUUGAAUGGGAGAGCUCCAAAGAGCUACAGAAGUUGUGCUGUGGAUUUGAGUCAACACUAACUAAUGCCCCCAGCAUGGUACUUUAGGUAGGACACUGCUGCUAAGCAGAGAGCAGAAGUCAAGACCAUUUUUGUUUUUUAUAUAUUUCAGGGCAUUUUUUUGUGCAAGUGGAGACAUCAGUUCUAGUACCCUGGCCAAAUUCCAAUCUUCCUGGAGAAAAAUCAACCCAACAGUUCCUUCUCAAUAUAGUAUGCUUCACUCACUGUCCUAAAACUGUUGUAUGAGUUGUUAUGCAGUUAAACAGCUGUUGCAUUUUACUCUAUGUGCGGCUGCAUCUCCCUGGCGGGUGUAGGGAUACUUUAUGGCCCUUCAGGAUAAAAAGUCAUAUGUUUAGUAUUUAUAAUAUGUCUGUCUGAAGGAAAGAAGGGAAACAGCUCAGCGUGUGGUACAAAGCAUUUAAAAUGCCCUGAGCUAGCAUUAAUACUUAAACAUGCUUUAAAUGUUUGUUUGUUCAUCUGUCAAUUUAUAAAGCAGAAUCUUACUGUACAAUUUUGUGGACUCUUAUUACAAACAAGUAACAAUUUGUUGGAACUAAACUGAAUGGGCUUUUUGAAUCAAUCAUUUAAAUAAAUUUUUCCUUUAAAGCAGAGUUUCACUCUUUAGAGCAGAUACCCUGCUGGGGAAGAAACAGCAAGAGAAAAAUGAGAGAAAAACAAUAGGCUGAAAUCCAGAGAAUAAUCCUUGUCUCAAGCCAGGACACCUUAUUUUUAAAAUUCACAGCUAUUUACUGAGUCCCAAAGACUAAUUCUGAAAUUUGUUUAAAGAAGUUUCUGUUCUAAAGAAACUUGAACAAUGUGAAUGAUAGCACAACAGGUAUUGCCAGCUGUAGGCAAUCGCUACAGAGAUUUGGAACUCCUCUAAGGACACAAGUUCCAAAUGUGUGGGAAACAAGUGUUUAUUAAUUGACAACCUAAUAUCUAAUGGAUUAAAUGGACUAGCCAACACCUAGCUCUUUAAAAUAUACCUUGUUUCAUAGCCACAAAUACAGUGAGCACAGAUCUUUAAAAAAAAUAAGUGAAGAAUUUAAUGGUAGAAAAAAAGGAAGAAAAGAGGUUGAAAAAACACAACAAGAACCACAAAUUGUUCAUUCAAUUUAAGGAAUUGUUUGCUUGUGAUUAAUGAACAUGACGGUUGUAGUACGAUGAAGGCCUAAAACAUAAGCCCAUCUAGCGCAGGACUGAUUAGAGGCCCUUGCUCACAGAACUAGGAACAAACAGGGCUGAGAGUGCAAGACACUAAUUGGUAAUAGGUCCAGGUGUAGAAUAGUAAUUGAUACUAGGUACCAACUGCAAAACAGUAAUUGGUACUGGUCAUAAAUGGAAAGCACAUGGUACCACCAGCUCAUUAAAAAAAGACCUUGGUACCUAGAUUUUUAGAAAGCCUAUUGCAACCUUGGUACCUAGAAUGCUGCUUAAGGAACAGCUUAAGGAACAGCUUAAGAAAUGAUUAAUAGUCAUUUGCUGAAAGAGUUGUCUCACGUGUUAGGAAACAGGGGUCUGUUUGUGGGUUUGGGGAUUAUACUACAAAUUAUAUUUAUACUCCACUCAUUUUAGUAUUAAAAGAAGGAUCAUUCUACACAUUAGAGACACUAAGAGAUGGGCUGUAAAAGAAUAUAAGAAUGGCCAUACUGGGUCAGACCAAAGGUCCAUCUAGCCCAGUAGCCUGUCUGCCAACAGUGGCCAGCACCAGGUGCCCUAGAGGGGGUGGACCGAAGACAAUGAUCAA
Non-coding RNA from Pelodiscus sinensis (Chinese soft-shelled turtle), 3904 nucleotides. NCBI's taxonomy places the organism in Eukaryota, Metazoa, Chordata, Testudines, Trionychidae. The record is from RefSeq and is a predicted model, not a curated record.